RNAcentral lists this long non-coding RNA (201 nucleotides) under Elaeis guineensis (African oil palm). RNAcentral describes it as "long non-coding RNA (EGUI_LNC067844)". The record is from RNAcentral. Lineage: Eukaryota; Viridiplantae; Streptophyta; Magnoliopsida; Arecales; Arecaceae.
CGGAUAGUUAUUCACCAUAAUUGAUGAUCGUGGAUAUUUCUUCGAUUUUUUUUUGAGAUGCAUAAGUAUCUAACCUAUAUAGGUAUCUAUGAGACAGAUCUAAGAAAACUCCUCUUUAUUUCUUCAUCAAGAAACCAGCGCAAAGAAGAAAGAAGAAGAUGAGAGAACUCCUCUCAAAUCAAUAUCCUGAAUCUUGGCACG